GGCAUCUCCUUGAUUUCAUGUACAAUCGUAGACUUUGCAGCAACAGCAGCUUGAAAACUUCGCAGCUGCUCAUCUUCUUCAUCAGCCACUUGCUUCUCAUAUUCUCUCCUUGACAUUUCAAGCUUCUCAAGAAACUCGGUCUCGUCCUCAUCUAAGGCUUUGGGUGGUUGGUGUUUAAAGCGUUCAUUAAAUUCAGCAUCUUUCUUGUCCUUGUUCUCCUUCAAGAUCUCAUAAAGAGGGCGAUCUCUCUGAGCAGUUCCAUCUUCAACCCGAGCACCCCGAGUUUUCUUGGAUUCUGCCAACUGUUCUUCGGAGACAAAAUUCAUCAACCUCACCGGAGGUGGAAAAUCCUCGUCCGCCAUUGUAGUUACACCGCUAAGUCGGAGUUCGAGUGCAGAGGUGAAGUGUGUAUAUUAGUAGCAAUAGAGAUGCUUUGAAGCAACUGUGUUUU
This 451-nucleotide unclassified non-coding RNA is filed under the name Hevea brasiliensis (rubber tree). The record is from RNAcentral. Lineage: Eukaryota; Viridiplantae; Streptophyta; Magnoliopsida; Malpighiales; Euphorbiaceae.